Molecule: ribosomal RNA, 369 nt
Filed under: uncultured bacterium
Lineage: Bacteria
Description: bacterial SSU rRNA
Rfam family: Bacterial small subunit ribosomal RNA
Source: RNAcentral
UAACGUAGCGAAAGUUACGCUAAUACCGCAUAUUCUGUGAGCAGGAAAGAGGGGGAUCGCAAGACCUCUUGCUUUAGGAGCGGCCGAUGUCGGAUUAGCUAGUUGGUGAGGUAAAGGCUCACCAAGGCGACGAUCCGUAGCGGGGUCUGAGAGGAUGAUCCGCCACACUGGGACUGAGACACGGCCCAGACUCCUACGGGAGGCAGCAGUGGGGAAUUUUGGACAAUGGGCGCAAGCCUGAUCCAGCCAUGCCGCCGUGAGUGAAGAAGGCUUCGGGUUGUAAAGCUCUUUCGGUGGGGAAGAAAUUGCUUCGGUUAAUACCUGGAGUAGAUGACGGUACCCGCAUAAGAAGCACCGGCUAACUACGUG